This 783-nucleotide long non-coding RNA is filed under the name Mus musculus (house mouse). RNAcentral's name for it is "alncRNA-EC17". The record is from RNAcentral. Lineage: Eukaryota; Metazoa; Chordata; Mammalia; Rodentia; Muridae.
AGGCAUUUUUUGAAGCUCGAGAUAGCUGGGUGACUUGCUUUGAUCACUGAACUGUGUCUGAAGAGGAUAAUAUCAUUAUGAACAGUGAUAAAGGAAGACCCAGGGAUCCAGUCACACAAUUUCUCCUGAAUCUGACAAGACAACACUCUCCCCACAUCCUGAGAAUGGCAGAGAGGAGCUGCACCAUGUGGCUAACAAGUUGUUCUUGGGGAGGCUGCACUCCUGGCUCCUCCUCAGCUUGCCUUCUCCUGCCUCAGUUUUUAGGGACCACCGCAGAGCCAACAGACUGAGGAGUUCUGCACUGCAGUGAAGGUUCCCACUUCUCUACACCCUGAACUUUAAGCAAUUAUUAAAUACUGUAAAAGAACUAUAGUCAGCUAAGUAAGAGCUGAGCACAAUGUCACCUUUGUUUGCAUACAGUUACUACUCUCAAAGACAUCAGAUAAUUUUACUUCAACUUCCUGUCAGGAUAGAUUGCACAUCCCAGGGAAGUAUUACCCAACACCUGGGAGGCAUAGGUAACUCUGCCAGUUGCAGGCCUGCCUGGUCUAUAUAGUCAGUUCCUGGCCAGCCACAUCCUUCCUUCAAUAAAAGAUAUACUAGAAAGAUAUCUACAAUUAAUUCUUUGCCAAAAAUAAUUGUGUUGGGCAAGGCCAUAAAAACAAAUUUAAAGCUAGGCAGUGGUGGCACACGUCUUUAAUCCCAGCACUUGGGAGGCAGAGGCAAGAGGAUUUCUGAGUUCAAGGACAGCCUAGUCUACAGAGUGAGCUCCAGGACAGCCAG